Molecule: ribosomal RNA, 623 nt
Filed under: Salmonella enterica subsp. enterica serovar Kentucky
Lineage: Bacteria; Pseudomonadati; Pseudomonadota; Gammaproteobacteria; Enterobacterales; Enterobacteriaceae
Description: bacterial LSU rRNA
Rfam family: Bacterial large subunit ribosomal RNA
Source: RNAcentral
UGGUGGGGUGACUGCGUACCUUUUGUAUAAUGGGUCAGCGACUUAUAUUCUGUAGCAAGGUUAACCGUAUAGGGGAGCCGGAGGGAAACCGAGUCUUAAUUGGGCGUUAAGUUGCAGGGUAUAGACCCGAAACCCGGUGAUCUAGCCAUGGGCAGGUUGAAGGUUGGGUAACACUAACUGGAGGACCGAACCGACUAAUGUUGAAAAAUUAGCGGAUGACCUGUGGCUGGGGGUGAAAGGCCAAUCAAACCGGGAGAUAGCUGGUUCUCCCCGAAAGCUAUUUAGGUAGCGCCUCGUGAAUUCAUCUCCGGGGGUAGAGCACUGUUUCGGCUAGGGGGCCAUCCCGGCUUACCAACCCGAUGCAAACUGCGAAUACCGGAGAAUGUUAUCACGGGAGACACACGGCGGGUGCUAACGUCCGUCGUGAAGAGGGAAACAACCCAGACCGCCAGCUAAGGUCCCAAAGUCAUGGUUAAGUGGGAAACGAUGUGGGAAGGCCCAGACAGCCAGGAUGUUGGCUUAGAAGCAGCCAUCAUUUAAAGAAAGCGUAAUAGCUCACUGGUCGAGUCGGCCUGCGCGGAAGAUGUAACGGGGCUAAACCAUGCACCGAAGCUGCGGCAGCG